Molecule: long non-coding RNA, 525 nt
Organism: Canis lupus familiaris (dog)
Lineage: Eukaryota; Metazoa; Chordata; Mammalia; Carnivora; Canidae
Exons: 4
Source: RefSeq, a predicted model, not a curated record
GCAGAGUUGAAAAAGUAAGAAUGGGAGUGGUAUACAUUUUGCUUUUCUUCUACUGCGAUUAUCAGCAGCAAUCCUUACAACUAAGAUACGGCAUAUUCCAGUGAAAGAGAAACUCAGCAGAGGACGUAGGCUCAGGCCGCCUUUGUCCACGACGCAUGUAUGACAAGAAUCAAAAUGACCACAUCUCCUUUAAAGAUGGGAAAGACUGAAGCAAAAGUAAUGGUGCAUCAAAAGCCCAUAUGACUCAUUCCUAUGCAUAUCGAGGUAAGAUUUCGAAGUAUUGAAUAACACAAAGGAUUUUCUGGAGGUGAGAGGAAAGGACUCAGAACUGGCUUCCGUCUUGCCAGAAAGCAGUACCCCUAACAAGUUGGUUGUCUCCCGCUUUGAAGAACCUUGUGACGAAUAGAAACCAAGAGAUAUAGGAGAGGUGGGAGUACAUUUCUCGACACGGGCUUCAUUUAUUUAUAUGCUGCGGCACACGCACUCAUGAUGUUUCAAACUUAUUUCCACCAGAUUCAAAAUAAA